Molecule: ribosomal RNA, 345 nt
Filed under: Spiroplasma citri
Lineage: Bacteria; Bacillati; Mycoplasmatota; Mollicutes; Entomoplasmatales; Spiroplasmataceae
Description: bacterial SSU rRNA
Rfam family: Bacterial small subunit ribosomal RNA
Source: RNAcentral
CAAAUCAGCAUGCCCCUUAUAUCUUGGGCUACACACGUGCUACAAUGGUCGGUACAAACAGUUGCGAUCUCGUAAGAGGGAGCUAAUCUGAAAAAGCCGAUCUCAGUUCGGAUUGAGGGCUGCAACUCGCCCUCAUGAAGCCGGAAUCGGCUAGUAAUCGCGAAAUCAGCAAUGUCGCGGUGAAUACGUUCUCGGGUCUUGUACACACACGCCCGUCACACCAUGAGAGUUGAUAAUACCAGAAGUCGGUAUUCUAACCGCAAGGAGGAAGCCGCCCAAGGUAGGAUUGAUGAUUAGGGUGAAGUCGUAACAAGGUAUCCGUACGAGAACGUGCGGAUGGAUCAC